Megalopta genalis is the source of this 1496-nucleotide long non-coding RNA. RefSeq lists it as uncharacterized. The record is from RefSeq and is a predicted model, not a curated record. Lineage: Eukaryota; Metazoa; Arthropoda; Insecta; Hymenoptera; Halictidae.
CAUUUUCGUUUUAUGGCUGGUGUCCAACAACAAGUCCUCAGCAUUUCUGAAAUUUGUAUUCCUUAGUUUUUGUCGUAUGAAACAUUAAAAAUACUUUACAUGAAUUUUUUAACACGGAACGCAUGCCCUUGAUUUAUAUUGUUCCUAGAUUUCUUAUAACACACGAUGUAUGUACUCCGAGAACACGGCUUCAACACAACACGGACGGAUUUCUCCGAAUUGUAUUAAUUCUAAGUUUUUUCUAACACGGUUUCGAUGCAGCACAGAACGAAUUAACAGUGUUAUAAGAGUAGUUUGCCGUGACAAUUCAAUAACUUGCGGAAACUUAAGGUCAAGCUGGAAGAUUGUACUCAAUCGAAAAAUACUUCGACCUUAAAAAAGAAUUCGAAUUCGCGUAAAAAAACCAAGAAACCUCGACCAAUAGCUCGGAAAAAAAUCAUUGAAUUUUCAAGGAUUACUGCGAAUCAAUUUUAAAAUGUAGUCGUAGGAAUUUUCAAAUUUUUGAGAGCUUAAAUUAAAAAGCUGGAAAAUCGCACUUUAUGAUAGGGCUGUAUGAGGGCUAAAUUUCGAUCGCAUGAAUUAAUUCAUUCUUUCCGCAAUUCGCACGGUAUGUUAUUGUAAAAACGACAAGAAUCAGUUAUCUGUUGCGCAAAUUAUGUCAUGGUAUGAAUAAUUAAAAACACGUGGAAUUAAACCGCAACGAAGAGUCAGAUAGACAAAACUAAAAUCUCACAGCCUGAUAUAAACGUAAUCUCCCAUGACUGCAUCGUAAAACUUCUACCGAGAUUGAAGUUUCCGGACUUUAUCGUAUCUCAGAAUGUAUUUGACGCAAUUACCGAAUAGAAACCGCAAUGUGUACGUGGCCAGGAUAUGAUCAGUAACCACAAAUUAGUGCGAAUAAACGAAAAGAGGGGAGGGAUAUCGCACGUGAACGAGGGUAUAUCCAUGGUGUUUUCAUUGGCCUCAGUGUCAGUCGCCAAUUUGUAUCUAAACGUCGUAGACCAGCCCCCCGUGGACAGACGAAAAAAUCUUAACGAGCAGUCAAGGACCAGAAAAUAGAAUGUCGCCAGUGCGUUUCAUACUACUCGCGAUUUUCGUGAUCGCUCUGAUCGCUGUCGGACAAUCCAAACCCUUAACAUUUCCGGAAAGAAGAUUGAGUAGACGGUGUCCAGAGGGAUACAGACUGGUUCGCAACAUGGGGUGCAGGGAAAUUGUGACCAAUGCGUGAACUUCGAGCACGAAGUCCACACAUAUACACGCAAAAGCAUCCGUGUUACCUCAAACUAUAAUGGACCCAACAUCGAUAUAUGCAAUGGAUACCUGACUUUCUGAUGGUCAAUUAUGUUGCGGAUUCAUCUUUUUUACUAUCGUAAACAUCUCUGUAAUCAGAUACAUACGUGUAAGAUAAAUCACAGCUUAUUGAGUUAAAUCUUGUCUCCUGUCCCUUAUGUAACCUCUGAGUAAGAAUUAAUAAAGAAUUAUACAGUUAAUUGCAA